This 461-nucleotide ribosomal RNA is filed under the name uncultured bacterium. RNAcentral's name for it is "SSU rRNA". It matches the Rfam family "Bacterial small subunit ribosomal RNA", at positions 26 to 518 of the family's 1533-position model. The record is from RNAcentral.
AGAAUCAACGCUGGCGGCGUGCCUAACACAUGCAAGUCGAACGAGAAAGUGGAGCAAUCCAUGAGUAAAGUGGCGCACGGGUGAGUAACACGUGACUAACCUACCCUUGAGUGGGGGAUAACCUAGAGAAAUCUGGGCUAAUACCGCAUAAUACCUUCGGGUCAAAGGAGCAAUUCGCUUAAGGAGGGGGUCGCGGCCGAUUAGUUAGUUGGCGGGGUAAUGGCCCACCAAGACUAUGAUCGGUAUCCGGCCUGAGAGGGCGCACGGACACACUGGAACUGAAACACGGUCCAGACUCCUACGGGAGGCAGCAGUGGGGAAUUUGCGCAAUGGGGGAAACCCUGACGCGAGCAACGCCGCGUGGAGGAUGAAGUCCCUUGGGACGUAAACUCCUUUCGAUCGGGACGAUAAUGACGGUACCGAGAGAAGAAGCCCCGGCUAACGUUCGUGCCAGCAGCCGC